Molecule: ribosomal RNA, 604 nt
Filed under: uncultured bacterium
Lineage: Bacteria
Description: bacterial SSU rRNA
Rfam family: Bacterial small subunit ribosomal RNA
Source: RNAcentral
GAUGAACGCUGGCGGUCUGCUUAACACAUGCAAGUCGAACGAACUCUUCGGAGUGAGUGGCGGACGGGUGAGUAACGCGUGAGAAUCUGCCUGUGGGUCGGGGACAACCACUGGAAACGGUGGCUAAUACCGGAUGAGCCGAAAGGUAAAAAAUUUAUUGCCCACAGAUGAGCUCGCGUCUGAUUAGCUAGUUGGUAAGGUAAAAGCGUACCAAGGCGACGAUCAGUAGCUGGUCUGAGAGGAUGAGCAGCCACACUGGGACUGAGACACGGCCCAGACUCCUACGGGAGGCAGCAGUGGGGAAUUUUCCGCAAUGGGCGAAAGCCUGACGGAGCAAGACCGCGUGGGGGAGGAAGGUUUUUGGAUCGUAAACCCCUUUUGUCAAGGAAGAAGUUCUGACGGUACUUGACGAAUAAGCCUCGGCUAACUCCGUGCCAGCAGCCGCGGUAAUACGGAGGAGGCAAGCGUUAUCCGGAAUGAUUGGGCGUAAGGCGUCUGUAGGUGGCCAGCUAAGUCUGCUGUUAAAGAUCACAGCUCAACUGUGGGAAGGCAGUGGAAACUGGCAAGCUAGAGGCUGGUAGGGGUAAAGGGAAUUCCCGGUGUA